This is a long non-coding RNA of Prionailurus viverrinus (fishing cat), 151 nucleotides long. RefSeq lists it as uncharacterized. NCBI's taxonomy places the organism in Eukaryota, Metazoa, Chordata, Mammalia, Carnivora, Felidae. The record is from RefSeq and is a predicted model, not a curated record. The transcript is spliced from 3 exons.
GUGACAAAAAAUACACUAGUGCCAGUGGUGGGCACCUUCCAACAUUCUGAAAAAAACACUGAUUUCUGCCAAACAUUGUGGCCUGAGACCCAGCAUCCUAGCAUGGGAGACAAUCACCCACAAUUCCAAAAAGGGAGAGGGAGAGAGAGAA